GAUGAACGCUGGCGGCGUGCCUAACACAUGCAAGUCGAACGGAGUCGUUUUGGAAAUCUCUUCGGAGAUGGAAUUCUCGACUUAGUGGCGGACGGGUGAGUAACGCGUGAGCAAUCUGCCUUUAAGAGGGGGAUAACAGUCGGAAACGGCUGCUAAUACCGCAUAAAGCAUUAAAUUCGCAUGUUUUUGAUGCCAAAGGAGCAAUCCGCUUUUAGAUGCGCUCGCGUCUGAUUAGCUAGUUGGCGGGGUAACGGCCCACCAAGGCGACGAGCAGUAGCCGGACUGAGGGGUUGAACGGCCACAUUGGGACUGAGACACGGCACAGACUCCUACGGGAGGCAGCAGUGGGGAAUAUUGCGCAAUGGGGGAAACCCUGACGCAGCAACGCCGCGUGAUUGAAGAAGGCCUUCGGGGUGUAAAGAUCUUUAAUCAGGGACGAAACAAAUGACGGUACCUGAAGAAUAAGCUCCGGCUAACUACGUG
RNAcentral lists this ribosomal RNA (483 nucleotides) under uncultured bacterium. Its description in RNAcentral is "partial 16S ribosomal RNA". It matches the Rfam family "Bacterial small subunit ribosomal RNA", at positions 28 to 507 of the family's 1533-position model. The record is from RNAcentral.